Molecule: signal recognition particle RNA, 100 nt
Filed under: Flavobacteriales bacterium
Lineage: Bacteria; Pseudomonadati; Bacteroidota; Flavobacteriia; Flavobacteriales
Description: signal recognition particle sRNA small type
Rfam family: Bacteroidales small SRP
About the family: The non-coding component of the signal recognition particle in Bacteroides
Source: RNAcentral
GGGCAAGUCCUGUACGACCAGCUCCUGCCGAACUCCCCCAGGCCGGGAACGGAGCAAGGGUAGGCAGUUGAAGCGGUGCGAUACAGGUAGCUUGCCCUUU